RNAcentral lists this ribosomal RNA (253 nucleotides) under uncultured bacterium. RNAcentral's name for it is "partial 16S ribosomal RNA". It matches the Rfam family "Bacterial small subunit ribosomal RNA", at positions 524 to 776 of the family's 1533-position model. The record is from RNAcentral.
UACAGAGGUCUCAAGCGUUAAUCGGAAUUACUGGGCUUAAAGGGUCCGCAGGCGGACCAGCAAGUACCUUGUGAAAUCUCAGGGCUCAACCCUGAGUCUGCUAGGUAGACUGCUGGUCUUGAGUGCAAAAGGGGUCGCUGGAACUCUAGGUGGAGCGGUGAAAUGCGUAGAUAUCUAGAGGAACGCCAAAGGUGAAGACAGGCGACUGGUUUGCAACUGACGCUCAUGGACGAAAGCGUGGGGAUCAAACGGG